RNAcentral lists this transfer RNA (59 nucleotides) under Oscillibacter sp. RNAcentral's name for it is "tRNA-Ser". It matches the Rfam family "tRNA", at positions 17 to 71 of the family's 71-position model. Rfam says of the family: Transfer RNA (tRNA) molecules are approximately 80 nucleotides in length. Their secondary structure includes four short double-helical elements and three loops (D, anti-codon, and T loops). The record is from RNAcentral. Lineage: Bacteria; Bacillati; Bacillota; Clostridia; Eubacteriales; Oscillospiraceae.
GGUUAAGACACGGCCCUUUCACGGCUGUAACAUGGGUUCGAUUCCCGUACGGGUCACCA